GGCAAGCGUUGUCCGGAAUCAUUGGGCGUAAAGCGCGUGGAGGCGGCCAGAAAAGUCCGCUGUGAAAACUCGCGGCUCAACUUCGAGCUGUCGGUGGAAACUUUCUGGCUAGAGUCCGGAAGAGGAGAAUGGAAUUCCUGGUGUAGCGGUGAAAUGCGCAGAUAUCAGGAAGAACACCCGUGGCGAAGGCGGUUCUCUGGGCCUUACCUGACGCUGAGGAGCGAAAGCGUGGGUAGCGAACAGG
This 244-nucleotide ribosomal RNA is filed under the name uncultured bacterium. RNAcentral describes it as "partial 16S ribosomal RNA". It matches the Rfam family "Bacterial small subunit ribosomal RNA", at positions 533 to 776 of the family's 1533-position model. The record is from RNAcentral.